This 1342-nucleotide ribosomal RNA is filed under the name Troglophilus neglectus. RNAcentral describes it as "large subunit ribosomal RNA". The stretch from base 626 to 1342 matches the Rfam family "Archaeal large subunit ribosomal RNA", at positions 1423 to 2834 of the family's 2987-position model. Lineage: Eukaryota; Metazoa; Arthropoda; Insecta; Orthoptera; Rhaphidophoridae. The record is from RNAcentral.
UAUAAUAAUUUUAAUUGGAGUUGUAGAGUUUAAAUUAUAUUUAAUAAAAAUAAUUUUAUUAGUAAAAGUUUUAGUAUAUUUUAUAGAAGAAAUUUUAUUGUUUAAUAGUAAAUUUGUAUUGUGGAAGAAUGGUGAAAAAUUAUGAAAAUAUUUAUAAAUAAAAAGUAGAUUUAAGAUUGUACCUUGUGUAUCAGGGUUUAUUAAGAUUAAGAUAAUUAUAUUAUUAAUCCCGAAUUUAUAAGAGUUAAUUAAUUAUUAUAGUUAAUGUAAAAUAAUUAUUAUAAAUAAUUAAUUAGAAAUGAAAUGUUAAUCGUUUAUAAAGGUAUCUGGUUUUUUAAGAGUUGAAUUUAAUUCAUAAAUAUUUUUGUAUUUUAUUAGUUUGAGAUUAAAAUAUAAUUGUAUUUAAAUAUUUUGAGGGAUAAGCUUUGAAAUAUAAACUAUAAAUAAAUAAGGUUAUUAUUAAAUAUGUAGGCUUUAAAUUAGCUUUCAGUUAAAGUGUGUUAUAAUUUAUUUAAAUUUUAUUAUAAUUUUAUAGGGUUUUUAGUUAGCUUAUUAAAAUGAUUCUAGUAAUAAUAAAUUGAAUGAAAUAAUGAUAGAAUUAGUAUAAUUAAUAUGUAUAGAUAAAUAAUAUAAUGAAUUUAGAAUAAGGAAUUAGGCAAAAUUAAUUAUUAAUAAUACUCGCCAGUUUAACAAAAACAUGUCUUUUUGAAAAUAAUUUAAAGUCUGACCUGCCCACUGAAAUAAAAGAUUUGAAGGGCCGCAGUAUUUUGACUGUGCAAAGGUAGCAUAAUCAUUAGUCUUUUAAUUGGGGACUGGUAUGAAUGGUUUAACGAAGUAUUAACUGUCUCGUUUUAAUAAAUUGAAUUUAACUUUUGAGUCAAAAGGCUUAAAUAGAGUUAGAGGACGAGAAGACCCUAUAGAGCUUUAUAAAUUAAAUAUUAAAUUGGAUUUAGAUGUUUUGUUUAAUUUAAGUAAAAAAUUUAUUUUAUUGGGGUGAUAUGAAGAUUUAAUUAACUCUUUAUAAUAAGUAAACACUAAUGAGUGAAUAAUUGAUCCAUUUUUAGUGAUUAUAAGAUUAAGUUACCUUAGGGAUAACAGCGUAAUGUUUUUUGAGAGUUCUUAUCAACAAGAAAGAUUGCGACCUCGAUGUUGGAUUAAGGGAAAAGUUGGGUGUAGAAGUUCAAAUGUUUAGGUCUGUUCGACCUUUAAAUCCUUACAUGAUCUGAGUUCAGACCGGCGUGAGCCAGGUCGGUUUCUAUCCUUAAUAAUAUAAAGUGCUUUAGUACGAAAGGACCAAGUACUAAAAAUAUAGUUUUGAAAAUAAAUUGAUAAAUAGUAAUAA